Molecule: ribosomal RNA, 483 nt
Filed under: uncultured bacterium
Lineage: Bacteria
Description: partial 16S ribosomal RNA
Rfam family: Bacterial small subunit ribosomal RNA
Source: RNAcentral
UUGAACGCUGGCGGCAGGCCUAACACAUGCAAGUCGAGCGGAUGAAGGGAGCUUGCUCCUGGAUUCAGCGGCGGACGGGUGAGUAAUGCCUAGGAAUCUGCCUGGUAGUGGGGGAUAACGUCCGGAAACGGGCGCUAAUACCGCAUACGUCCUGAGGGAGAAAGUGGGGGAUCUUCGGACCUCACGCUAUCAGAUGAGCCUAGGUCGGAUUAGCUAGUUGGUGGGGUAAAGGCCUACCAAGGCGACGAUCCGUAACUGGUCUGAGAGGAUGAUCAGUCACACUGGAACUGAGACACGGUCCAGACUCCUACGGGAGGCAGCAGUGGGGAAUAUUGGACAAUGGGCGAAAGCCUGAUCCAGCCAUGCCGCGUGUGUGAAGAAGGUCUUCGGAUUGUAAAGCACUUUAAGCUGGGAGGAAGGGCAGUAAGUUAAUACCUUGCUGUUUUGACGUUACCAACAGAAUAAGCACCGGCUAACUUCGUG